AGAGUUUGAUCCUGGCUCAGGAUGAACGCUAGCGGCAGGCCUAAUACAUGCAAGUCGAGGGGUAAGGCUCACUUCGGUGGGUACACGACCGGCGCACGGGUGCGUAACGCGUAUGCAACCUACCUAUAACUGGAGGAUAGCCCCGAGAAAUCGGGAUUAAUACUCCAUAACAACAUUUUUUGGCAUCAUUAGAUGUUUAAAGCUCCGGCGGUUAUAGAUGGGCAUGCGUGACAUUAGUUUGUUGGUGAGGUAACGGCUCACCAAGACUACGAUGUCUAGGGGUUCUGAGAGGAAGAUCCCCCACACUGGUACUGAGACACGGACCAGACUCCUACGGGAGGCAGCAGUAAGGAAUAUUGCGCAAUGGAGGAAACUCUGACGCAGCCAUGCCGCGUGAAGGAUGAAGGCCUUAUGGGUCGUAAACUUCUUUUAUCAGGGAAUAAACCCUCGCUCGUGAGCGAGGCUGAAGGUACCUGAAGAAUAAGCACCGGCUAACUCCGUGCCAGCAGCCGCGGUAAUACGGAGGGUGCAAGCGUUAUCCGGAUUCAUUGGGUUUAAAGGGUGCGCAGGCGGACUUUUAAGUCAGUGGUGAAAUCCCGGGGCUCAACCCCGGAACUGCCAUUGAUACUGAAAGUCUUGAGUUUGGUUGAAGUAGGCGGAAUGUAGCAUGUAGCGGUGAAAUGCUUAGAUAUGCUACAGAACACCGAUCGCGAAGGCAGCUUACUAAACCAAUACUGACGCUCAGGCACGAAAGCGUGGGGAGCGAACAGGAUUAGAUACCCUGGUAGUCCACGCCGUAAACUAUGAUCACUCGUUGUUGGCGAUACACAGUCAGCGACCAAGCGAAAGCGAUAAGUGAUCCACCUGGGGAGUACGAUCGCAAGGUUGAAACUCAAAGGAAUUGACGGGGGCCCCGCACAAGCGGU
Molecule: ribosomal RNA, 926 nt
Filed under: uncultured Cytophaga sp.
Lineage: Bacteria; Pseudomonadati; Bacteroidota; Cytophagia; Cytophagales; Cytophagaceae
Description: bacterial SSU rRNA
Rfam family: Bacterial small subunit ribosomal RNA
Source: RNAcentral